GGUGCUGAUUGCGUUCAGGUUCCACCUGUUCCCAUGCCGAACACAGAAGUUAAGCUGAAUUUCGCCGAAAAUACUUGGGUGGCGACGCCCCGGAAAGAUAGGUAGGUGCC
This 110-nucleotide ribosomal RNA is filed under the name human gut metagenome. The record is from RNAcentral.